RNAcentral lists this ribosomal RNA (587 nucleotides) under Bacillus licheniformis. Its description in RNAcentral is "bacterial SSU rRNA". It matches the Rfam family "Bacterial small subunit ribosomal RNA", at positions 268 to 845 of the family's 1533-position model. Lineage: Bacteria; Bacillati; Bacillota; Bacilli; Caryophanales; Bacillaceae. The record is from RNAcentral.
CCAAGGCGACGAUGCGUAGCCGACCUGAGAGGGUGAUCGGCCACACUGGGACUGAGACACGGCCCAGACUCCUACGGGAGGCAGCAGUAGGGAAUCUUCCGCAAUGGACGAAAGUCUGACGGAGCAACGCCGCGUGAGUGAUGAAGGUUUUCGGAUCGUAAAACUCUGUUGUUAGGGAAGAACAAGUACCGUUCGAAUAGGGCGGYACCUUGACGGUACCUAACCAGAAAGCCACGGCUAACUACGUGCCAGCAGCCGCGGUAAUACGUAGGUGGCAAGCGUUGUCCGGAAUUAUUGGGCGUAAAGCGCGCGCAGGCGGUUUCUUAAGUCUGAUGUGAAAGCCCCCGGCUCAACCGGGGAGGGUCAUUGGAAACUGGGGAACUUGAGUGCAGAAGAGGAGAGUGGAAUUCCACGUGUAGCGGUGAAAUGCGUAGAGAUGUGGAGGAACACCAGUGGCGAAGGCGACUCUCUGGUCUGUAACUGACGCUGAGGCGCGAAAGCGUGGGGAGCGAACAGGAUUAGAUACCCUGGUAGUCCACGCCGUAAACGAUGAGUGCUAAGUGUUAGAGGGUUUCCGCCCUUUAGUG